GACGAACGCUGGCGGCGUGCUUAACACAUGCAAGUCGAACGAAGUGGCGAACGGGUGAGUAACGCGUAAUCCACCUGCCCUUCAGAGGGGAACACCAGUUGGAAACGACUGCUAAUACCGCAUACUGAAGGAGGGGAUUGCGUCUGAUUAGCUAGUUGGAGGGGUAACGGCCCACCAAGGCGAAGAUCAGUAGCCGGUCUGAGAGGAUGAACGGCCACAUUUGGACUGAGACACGGCCCAGGAUCCUACGGGAAGUAGCAGUGGGGAAUCUUCCGCAAUGGACGAAAAUCUGACGGAGCAACGCCGCGUGAGUGAUUACGGCCUUCGGGUUGUAAAGCUCUGUUAAUCGGGGCGCGGUACCGGAAUAGAAAGCCACGGCUAACUACGUGCCAGCAGCCGCGGUAAUAC
Molecule: ribosomal RNA, 408 nt
Filed under: uncultured bacterium
Lineage: Bacteria
Description: partial 16S ribosomal RNA
Rfam family: Bacterial small subunit ribosomal RNA
Source: RNAcentral